UACAGAGGUCCCAAGCGUUGUUCGGAUUCAUUGGGCGUAAAGGGUGCGUAGGCGGCGCGGUAAGUCGGGUGUGAAAUCUCGGAGCUUAACUCCGAAACUGCAUUCGAUACUGCCGUGCUUGAGGACUGGAGAGGAGACUGGAAUUUACGGUGUAGCGGUGAAAUGCGUAGAUAUCGUAAGGAAGACCAGUGGCGAAGGCGGGUCUCGUGGACAGUUCCUGACGCUGAGGCACGAAGGCCAGGGGAGCAAACGGG
Molecule: ribosomal RNA, 254 nt
Filed under: uncultured bacterium
Lineage: Bacteria
Description: partial 16S ribosomal RNA
Rfam family: Bacterial small subunit ribosomal RNA
Source: RNAcentral